Pelobates cultripes (western spadefoot toad) is the source of this 633-nucleotide non-coding RNA. NCBI's taxonomy places the organism in Eukaryota, Metazoa, Chordata, Amphibia, Anura, Pelobatidae. The record is from the annotation of a GenBank genome assembly.
CAGCUAGGAGAGUUUUGGCAGCUAGAUGGCCGAAUGUUGAGAUACCUCCUCUGCAGGACAUCAUAACAAAAAUUGAGAAGAACCUUUUAAUGGACGAAUUAAGCUCCAAGGUAAGACAUUCCUCCACCUCCAUUCAUAAGGUGCGGAGUCCUUGGAAAUAAUAUAUAACUGGUAAACAGAAAUCAGUUUAUAUGACAAGAGUUAUUCAUACCAGAUUUUGUCCAGGUGAACAAAAUCCAGUGAGAAUGGCCAAAUUCCAACCAGAAUGGCAAUUCACAUAUUCAGUCAGAAUUUGGCCAGCCUUACCAAAUCUGCACUAAUUACUCGGAUACAUUCUUUGUCUAGUUUUAGAUCAGUGUUUUAUUGCACUUGUUUAAAGCACCAAUUUUAAACAAAAUCAGGACCAGAUGCAUCUAAAAGGAUGCACGUUCACAAAUUACAUUUAGAAAAAAAAAAAUGUCUGUAUGCCAUUAUGAAUGAAUGUCUAUAUGCCAUUAUGAAUGUAUGUGUGUAUGGAUGUCAGUGUCUGUAUGUCUGUCAGCAUGUCUGUAUAUGUAUGUAUGUCUGUAGGUCAUUAUGAAUGUAUAUGUGUAUGGAUGUCGGUGUCUGUAUGUAUGUCAGUGUGUAUGUAUG